RNAcentral lists this ribosomal RNA (301 nucleotides) under uncultured bacterium. RNAcentral describes it as "partial 16S ribosomal RNA". It matches the Rfam family "Bacterial small subunit ribosomal RNA", at positions 509 to 807 of the family's 1533-position model. The record is from RNAcentral.
CAGCAGCCGCGGUAAUACGUAGGUGGCAAGCGUUGUCCGGAUUUAUUGGGCGUAAAGCGAGCGCAGGCGGUCAAUUAAGUCUGAUGUGAAAGCCCCCGGCUCAACCGGGGAGGGUCAUUGGAAGCUGGUUGACUUGAGUGCAGAAGAGGAGAGUGGAAUUCCAUGUGUAGCGGUGAAAUGCGUAGAUAUAUGGAGGAACACCAGUGGCGAAGGCGACUCUCUGGUCUGUAACUGACGCUGAGGCUCGAAAGCGUGGGUAGCAAACAGGAUUAGAUACCCCAGUAGUCCCUGUCUCUUAUAC